GGAGAGAUGGCUGAGUGGUUUAAAGCGGCAGAUUGUAAAUCUGUUGAAUUUUUUCAUCGUAGGUUCGAAUCCUGCUCUCUUCA
This 83-nucleotide transfer RNA is filed under the name Navicula ramosissima. Its description in RNAcentral is "tRNA-Tyr". It matches the Rfam family "tRNA". From Rfam's summary of the family: Transfer RNA (tRNA) molecules are approximately 80 nucleotides in length. Their secondary structure includes four short double-helical elements and three loops (D, anti-codon, and T loops). Lineage: Eukaryota; Bacillariophyta; Bacillariophyceae; Naviculales; Naviculaceae. The record is from RNAcentral.